Long non-coding RNA from Piliocolobus tephrosceles (Ugandan red Colobus), 673 nucleotides. RefSeq lists it as uncharacterized. The transcript has 2 exons. NCBI's taxonomy places the organism in Eukaryota, Metazoa, Chordata, Mammalia, Primates, Cercopithecidae. The record is from RefSeq and is a predicted model, not a curated record.
UAUAAUCGCAUUCCUGCACUUUUUUUUAUUUUAUUUUAUUUUAUUUUAUUUUGGAAACCAUCAUUCUUAGCAUUCCUGCACUUUUCAAGUUAGCCAACUGGGUUUAGCCAAUCGGAUGGUGCCGUACAACUCCAGCCAAUGGAGGCAGGACACAGUAAGAAGGACAAGCUGCUUUAGAGACAGUCCUGAAGAUGAGUUUUCACCCCAGAGAACAGAAUGACAAAAGGCCAAGAUGUGGUUGAUACAGCUGGUGAGAGACAUUGCGUGAGGAAAGACCAGGCUCUCCAAGCAUUCAGACACACCUGUGCAACUGUCCUUGCAAUUAGGAGCCAGGCCCCAUUGAGCUUCUCACCACAUGUCUUUGAACUUUGCUAGGUCAUGCUGUUGAUUAGUUUCCUCUACUGAGCAGGUAGCUUAUAGUCAGAGUAUUUACAACCAGGAGAAUGUUCCAGGCCAGCCCUGAGUCAACUUAAAAUAAUCAAAAGAUUAAAAUGUAAUCUGAAAUAUAUUUACUCAAGGUCAGAUAUUGAGGAUGGCCACCAGUCGGACAGAUUUAAGUUGCCCUGAAUAUAUGUUUCAAUUAACAGUCAUUGAAAGUGAGUCUUCUCAAAAAAGUGAGAAGGCAGUCGCUAAGUUGUUUACCAAUAAUUCAUAUUUAAAUGCAUAAGCUAUU